GCCAGGAGUUGGCUGUAUGCCCCUGGUUCUUAGAACAGUGUUGAGACAACUUUGACUAGAUGUAGCCACUCUUCUGGAACAGAUGCUCUCUAAAGAUGAAGGUUCUGGGAAGGACAGAGAAGAAUCCAGAGGAAAUGGAUUCCUGCGCCGGUGCAUACACAUGGGGCAGGGGAGUGCUACUGCUGCUGCACAAAGAGUUAUGCCCUGCAGUCUGGGAGCACGAUUGUGUCUGUGCACCUGUGUGUUUCAGAGAUGCUCCAGCACACCAGCACUGACCUUCAGGCAGCCUCUUGCAGCCUCAGUCCCUGGGAAAAGCCCAGUUUCCUUCAUAAUCAUGUCAGGGAAGGGACAAGAGAUGGCACAUUUCACUCUAAUGGAAUGUUCUGGAAAGACUGUCAGAGGAAAUUUGUCUCUUGGAAAAUGAUCAGAAUCUUUUUGAGGUGAAGAUCAACCACUUCUAGGCAGAGACCAGUCCAUCUUCCACUGCCAUUCUGGCUUAAGUUCUCCACAGAUGAGUUGAAUCCCUCAGAAGCCACAUCAAAGUUCUGGAAAGAGUGAGGGAGUGAAAGGACACAGCCCCUGACCAGUGGCAUGGACUUGUUGGUGCAGCCAGUGCCAUGGGCUCCACUGCCCAGAGGAGAGCUCUGGAGAGGGCAGAGGAGGCAAGAGGAAGAAGGUGGGCUCUGAGAGCCACACCCACAGCUCAGAUUGCAGGGCAACAGAAGCCACUUUGUCUUCUAAACUCACCUCCCAAGGAAAAAACCCUUCUUCCUCCACUCCCAAAGUGCACCCUUGUUUAGUCAAGCCUGUGUCCCCUGCCCGUAGGAAGGAGGAAAGCUCUUUUUAGUACACCAGCAGAACUACAUUUGAUGAUGCAACUUAGUAACUUUGUGCUUAAGAACAAAGCAGCACUGCUUAGGGCCAAGGGAGGUGAAAGAGAAUCUCCUGGUGGUCAGAGCUCGGGGACAUCCCUGUUAGCUGGGUUGAUCAGGGAAGGCCUCAGGAAGAGGUAAGCUUGAUCUGUACUUUGGAGAUGGGAGGAAUCAGAGAACAGAGAGAAAAAUGGAGGGCACUUUGGCGGGGAAUUUAACACAGACCCUCUUACUCAUUGCACAUAGCUCUUUAAAGCUUACAAAGUAUGUUCACAUGUGUAAUCUCAUUUCAUCCUCAUUGGACUAUGGGAUCCCAGAGGUACUAUCUCAUUUGAGAAGCAAUUCAGCAUAGUAAUUAAGAGUGCAGUUUUUGAAUUUCUGGUUAAAUGUGGCAGAUGGAAUAAAUGCAUUUAUAUCUGCUCCCUCAACAAACCUCACAAAAAUAAAAGUAAAGCGAUGUAAAGAAGCCAAUGGUGGACCACAGAUGUCAACACAUUUUUGGAAGAUGGCAAGUGGAUGGACGGGUUGGCAGAGCUGAGAUAGCUGCAUACCAAGUGCUAUAGCAAAAGAUGCCAAAGAGAAGUCAGUCAGUUGGAGACCUAGGACAAGGGAAAGAUUAGAUAUUGGAGGCACAAGUUAUUGCAGAAGGUGGGAGUGAGGUAUGGGCUAAGAACAAGGGAAUGGGUUGAAAUUCUGCAUAAGAACCAGGUCCCUUCCAUAACAUACACAGGCAGAUAACUACAUCUUCCAUAUCUUGUCAAGGACUGGAGGUUUUAUUCUAGUUAAAAAGUGAAACAGGCCAGGCGCAGUGGCACAUACCUGUAGUGCCAGCUACAUGGGAGCCUAAGGUGGGAGAAUGGCUUGAGCCCGAGAGCUUGAGACCAGCCUGGGAAACAUAGUGAGAACUUGUUUCUAAUUAAAAAUAAAUAAAGCCGGGCAUGGUGGCUCACACCUGUAAUCCCAGCACUUUGGGAGGCCAAGGCGGGAGGAUCACAAGGUCAGGAGAUAGAGACCAUCUUGGCCAACAGGAUGAAACCCUGUCUCUACUAAAACACAAAAAAUUAGUUGGGUGUGGUGGCACGUGCCUUUAAUCCCAGCUACUUGGGAGGCUGAGGCAGGGGAAUCACUUGAACCUGGGAGGCAGAGGUUGUGGUGAGCUGAGAUCGUGCCACUGCACUCCAGCCUGGCGACAGAGCAAGACUUCGUCUCAAAAAUAAAUAAAUAAAUAAAUAGGUCAGGCGCAGUGGCUCACACCUGUAAUCUCAGCACUUUGGGAGGCUAAGGUGGGCGGAUCACAUGAGGCCAGGAGUUUGAGAUCAGUUUUGCCAACAUGGCAAAACCCCUCCUCUACUAGAAAUACAAAAAUUAGCUGAGCAUGGUAGUGCAUGCCUGUAACCCCAGCUACUCGAGAGGCUGAGGCAUGAGAAUCGCUUGAACCCAGGAGGCAGAGGUUGCAGUGAGCCAAGAUUGUGCCAUUGCACUUCAGCCUGGGUGACAGAGUGAGACUCUGUCUCCAGAAAGUAAAAAAAAUUAAAAAUAUAUAUUUAAAAACCCACCAAAGUUACUCAGGAGACUGAGGCAGGAGGAUCGCUUGAGACAGGGCAUUCUAGAAUGUGGUAAGUUAUGAUUGUGCCUGUGAAUAGCCACUGCAUUCCAGCCUGGGCAACGUAGCAACACCUCAUCUAUAAUUUUUUUUUUAAGUGAACCAGGGAUACUUCAUUUCAACACCGGGCACAGUGGAAAGCAGGUGACAGAUGUCAUAAUGAAAACAGGUGUGUUAGGAGACAGUCUGAACAUUAAGACCCUAGGCUCAUGAGACACAGUUUGUAGAAUACUGAUGGCCAGGUGAAUACCCACCCUCUCAGGUGGAGAUUAGGGAUUUUUUUACUAGGGAAACUGAGUAGAGGAAAGAUCUUUAGCUGGCCAUGGUGGGUGGCUCACACCUAUAAUCCUAGCACUUUGGGAAGCCAAGGCAGGCGGAUCAUUUGAGGUCAGGAGUUCACGACCAGCCUGGCCAAUAUAGUAAAACUACUCUACUCUCUACUAAAAAUACAAAAAUUAACCAGGUGUAGUGGUACACACCUGUAAUCCCAGCUACUCAGGAGGCUGAGGCAGGAGAAUCGCUUGAACCCAGGAGGCGAAGGUUGCAGUGAGCAAGAUGGCACCACUGCACUCCAGCCUGGGCAACAGAGAAAGACUCUCUCUCAAAAAAAAAAAAUCAAAAAUAAAAUAAAAUAAAAUAAAUAAAAUAAAAUAAACCCUUUAGAUACUGAGAAAGAGAUUAGAGAAAACGGAGAGAAGAGAGAGCACAGAAAUAAUAGAACGUUUCUCAGAGGUAAAAGACAUGAGUUUCUAGAACAAAAAGACUUACCCAAAGACCUACAAAUACAAUAUAUAAAAAUAUGCCCAAACCAAGUCUCAUUUGCAUGAAAUUUUUGAUGAACUAGGAUAUGGAUAAAAUACUUAAAGUUUCCUUACAGAAAGGAGAGGGUGCACACAAAGGAUAGCGUGGAAUCAGGAAUGGCAAUGGACUUCUCAACAGCCGUCCUGGAGCAAUGCCUUUAAAAGUCUAAAGAAUUCCUAUACUGGCCGGGCUCAGUGGCUCACAUCUGUAAUCCCAACACUUUGGGAGGCUGAGGUGGGUGGAUCCCGAGGUCAGGGGAUCAAGACCAUCUUGGCCAACAUGAUGAAACCCCCUCUCUACUAAAAAUACAAAAAUUAGUUGGGGGUGGUGGUGCGCGCCUGUAGUCCCAGCUACUUGGGAGGCUGAGGCAGGAGAAUUGCUUGCACCCAGGAGGUGCAGGUUGCAGUGAGCCAAGAUCGUGCCACUACCCUCCAGCCUGGUGACAGAGCGAGACUCUGUCUCAAAAAAAAAAAAAAAAAAAAAGAAUUCCUAUGUCAUUCAAGUUAUAAGCCAACUGUGAGGGUAGAAUAAAGAAUUAUCUGAAAUAUAAGGUAUCAAGAUUUUACUUCUCAUGAAUUCUUUUUUAAAUUUUUGAGACAGUCUUGCUCUGUUGCCCAGGCUGGAGUGCAGUGGCCCAGUCUCAGCUCAUGGCAACCUCUGCCUCCGAGGUUCAAGCAACUGCUGUGCCUCAGCCUCCCAAGUACCUGGAACUACAGGCGCUUACCACCACACCUGGCUAAUUUUUGUAUUUUUAGUGGAGAUGGGGUUUCGCCAUGUUGCCCAGUCUGGUCUCAAACUUCUGACUUCAAGUGAUCCGUCCACCACGGCGUCCGGAAGUGCUGGGAUUAUAGGCGUGAGCCACUGUGCCUGGCUCUUCUCGUGCAUUCUUUCUCAGGAAGCCGGUAAAGGACAUGCCCUGUCACACUGAGAUAAGGAUGUGCUUCACUAAAAUGGAAGACUAAGCCAAGAAAGAAAAGAUGUGUGGGAUCCAGGAAAAGGGGACCCACCCAAGAAAAGUGUGAAAGGGAAUCCUCUGAACAACUUCUGUGCAGAAGGCCCAGAGGGAGAUGGAAGGCUCCAGGUCUCCUUAAGGGAACAAAACGGGGGAAUUAAUAGAUUGCCUGAUGUGUUUCAUCAUGUGGAAAUUAGCAUUCAGAAGAUUUUUACAUUCUAUUGAAGAGUUGGGGAUGAAUUCAUGAUAAAGAUAUGGAAAACUAAGAAAAUGGCAGAAAGAAAAAAACAAGAUAAUUAACAUAAGUAAAAACAAAAAAUCAGCACAAGAAAGAUAAUGGAAGAUUAGUUUCAGCAGUAAAUCAUGUGUGUGAAAUCAGUAAGGCCAACACUGAAUACUGAUUUGACAAAAAAUUAUGAUGUAACUAUAUUGGAGUGGUGGAGAAAGGAGAUGAGUGGGGGUGGGGUGAUACAAACUAUUAAAUUAUUAUCUUCCAUAAUAAACUAAGAACAAGCAUUAUAAGUAUAUUAUUUUGAUAUUCAGAGGUAAAUACCAGUAGGCAGAGCUCAAAUGGUUUUUGUUUUUUCUUUUUGUUUUUGAGACAGAGUCUCACUCUGUCACCU
This 4851-nucleotide long non-coding RNA is filed under the name Homo sapiens (human). RNAcentral's name for it is "HSALNT0004836". Lineage: Eukaryota; Metazoa; Chordata; Mammalia; Primates; Hominidae. The record is from RNAcentral.